This 444-nucleotide unclassified non-coding RNA is filed under the name Hevea brasiliensis (rubber tree). The record is from RNAcentral. Lineage: Eukaryota; Viridiplantae; Streptophyta; Magnoliopsida; Malpighiales; Euphorbiaceae.
GAAAAAAAAAGCAAAUUAAUCAAAUGAAACAUUAGUUGAUUCGAGGCUCAAUCUUUGCAAAGAGUUUGUAUUUGGAAGAAUCAUGGGUCGAUUUGGCAGCUCAAGACAUGUAAGAGUUGAAGCUGAGCCUAGGGGAUUAGAUGACCUCCAGGGAAUCAAUGGUGUGGAAAUGACAAAGCUUAGGCACAGAUUUAAUGUGUCUCAAGUACCUGAUCUGAGGUCCAGGAAGGAUAUUACAGAUAAGGCAGAGAAAACUUCAAAAGUAUUGCACAGAGUGUUUUCUGAGGAUUAUGAGAAGGAAAAGAACAAGAUAUUGGAUCCUAGAGGGAAAAUUUUACAUAUGUGGAACAAGAUUUUCUUAGGGGCAUGCUUGCUUUCUAUCUUUGUCGAUCCUUUAUUCUUUUACUUGCCAAUAAUCAGAAAAGAACUCUGCAUAGAAAUUGC